UUGUGUUAUCGCAAUUAACAAUAUUAUUAUUAAUAUAACAGCAUAGUCCUUAUAUUACAAUUUACAGAAGAUUUUUACAAUAAUUAACGAUGACACUAAAUAAAAUGAUAAUAUAUUUAUUAUACAACUAGGCCAGAUAGAGAAUCAGAAAGGGAUUUGCGCUUCAAUCGCUCCAUUAAGUUUUGGUGGUUUGCCUAAUGUGAAAAACAAUUUGUUGUUAUCGACCAGCCUCCUGUUGCUGUUGUCGGCAAACACAGGAGACAAAUCUUUUGCCCAAGGCGCACCGAUAAGAGGAAAUUACAGAAGGAUAUAGACGAAUGUAAACUGAGCAGUCCACUAGCAGUCAAGUUUUUGAACGUCCAUUACCGCCAUAAUCGUUUUCCGCACUUGAGCAUUGCAAGUACACCGUCCAUGUCGAACAUACUACAAGCGUAAUAACAUUGUUACAAUUUACAUUUUUAUCGUUUCCACGGUCGACUAAUUUAAUUGUAAAUUCUUUCAUAACUAUUGUUUUUAGGUUAUUAAACUAUGUCAAUUAUUAUUAUAUAACUUUUUUUUUUUUUAUGAACAAGACAAGAAAUAUGUUUGUUCUAUGAAAGAACUAAAAAAAAAAUGAAUCAUAUUUGAUUAUAAUAGCAACCGAGGGAUUAUUGUACUGGCUAUUUUAUAGGAUCGAGGACAAGAACUUUAAAUUAGCCAUUUUAGCUAGUUCUUGACUAUUUAUUGAUUUAAAGAAAAAAGUUUCUAAUAAACUGUUUUUUAGAACAAUUUUUUUUUUUUAAAGUUAAUUUAUAUUUGCUUACAUUUUUUGAAACCUGUGUGAAUAUUUUUAAUUAAUUUUUUGAUUAUUUUUAAACAGAAAUUACAAUGUUUAAUGACUUGUGACAUUUGACCUUUUGCAUAAAGUUUUGUUACAAAAGACACAUAUCAUAUUUUUUAAAAAGGCCAAUCUCACCAAAUCAUAUAAUUUAAAAACUAUAAAUUCCGCCAAUGUAUAAUGUUUAAAAUGAGAUACUAGAUAUUGUACA
Long non-coding RNA from Adelges cooleyi (spruce gall adelgid), 1028 nucleotides. RefSeq lists it as uncharacterized. NCBI's taxonomy places the organism in Eukaryota, Metazoa, Arthropoda, Insecta, Hemiptera, Adelgidae. The record is from RefSeq and is a predicted model, not a curated record. The transcript is spliced from 3 exons.